Molecule: long non-coding RNA, 233 nt
Organism: Hibiscus syriacus
Lineage: Eukaryota; Viridiplantae; Streptophyta; Magnoliopsida; Malvales; Malvaceae
Exons: 4
Source: RefSeq, a predicted model, not a curated record
UUCGUGUUGAUUCAGUUUUUGCAUUAAGAUUGUUUAUAGAAGCAUCCACAGAUUUAAAUGAGAUUCGUCCUAUUCUUCUUCAACUACUUGACGAGAUUUUCAAACUUAUGAAUGAAGUUGAGAAUGAGGAUCUUGUCUUUACUCGGAAGACUAUAGUGGACAAGUUUGGGGAGGAGAUGUCUCCUUAUGCUCUUGGAUUAUGUCCGAAUCCGGCAGCUGCAUUCUGGAGGUGC